This 468-nucleotide ribosomal RNA is filed under the name uncultured bacterium. Its description in RNAcentral is "partial 16S ribosomal RNA". It matches the Rfam family "Bacterial small subunit ribosomal RNA", at positions 28 to 523 of the family's 1533-position model. The record is from RNAcentral.
GAUGAACGCUGGCGGCGUGCCUAACACAUGCAAGUCGAGCGAUUCUCUUCGGAGAAGAGCGGCGGACGGGCGAGUAACGCGUGGGUAACCUGCCCUGUACACACGGAUAACAUACCGAAAGGUAUGCUAAUACGAGAUAAUAUACUUUUAUCACAUGGUAGAAGUAUCAAAGCUUUUGCGGUACAGGAUGGACCCGCGUCUGAUUAGCUAGUUGGUAAGGUAACGGCUUACCAAGGCGACGAUCAGUAGCCGACCUGAGGGGGUGAUCGGCCACAUUGGAACUGAGACACGGUCCAAACUCCUACGGGAGGCAGCAGUGGGGAAUAUUGCACAAUGGGCGAAAGCCUGAUGCAGCAACGCCGCGUGAGUGAUGAAGGCCUUCGGGUCGUAAAGCUCUGUCCUCAAGGAAGAUAAUGACGGUACUUGAGGAGGAAGCCCCGGCUAACUACGUGCCAGCCGCCGCCGUAA